This is a long non-coding RNA of Monomorium pharaonis (pharaoh ant), 664 nucleotides long. RefSeq lists it as uncharacterized. The transcript has 2 exons. NCBI's taxonomy places the organism in Eukaryota, Metazoa, Arthropoda, Insecta, Hymenoptera, Formicidae. The record is from RefSeq and is a predicted model, not a curated record.
AAAAAUAGUGAUAUCUAAAUAUUUUGCGCCAGUUAUAAGAACAAAUAUUUUUAUAGAAACUAAAACAUUAUUACUAUUCUUUAAGGGGGGUAAUGGCGGACGUUGAUGAAUGGUCAGGAGGAGUGCUCUUGUUAGUUUGUAAUAGAAAAGUGAAAAAGAUGUGAAAGAAGAAGUGAGAGUGAGUGGAGGAGGACAAGGAGGUGGAAUAAUUGCUCGGACAUUGAAGGGAAGUGCAGGGUAGAUGGUGGAGAGAGACAGAAGAGGUGUUUGAAUAUCGAAGCAGGUGACCAGUGGAUGAGAUAGCGGUUUUUGGAGAUGGGGACAGUGCGCAGGAGCGGACGGAUGCGGAAGCUGAGCGGACAAACGACGUGAGAGAUGGAGAGUGGCGCUGGAGGAGGAGAGAGUGUGCAGAGGAGUCAACAGAUGGCGUGGCAGGAGGCAAGAAGGCAUGAUGAUCGAUAAUUCGAGCCAUCGAUGUACGAGCAGGUGACGAAGGACGGAAGGUGGAAGGAAGGAAGGAGAGAAGAAAGCGACGGAAGGACGAGAGCAAGAGAAAGGUGGAAUGAGGGAAAGAUAAGAAAAGACGAUGAAGGAAGUGGAAGAAGAACGGAAGGAGAAAGAGAAGAACGGGAAAGAAGGAAAGAAAGAGGAGAGGGGAAAAUUU